ACUGAACCGAAGGAAAGCGGAGACCACAAAACCAGUACACAGAAAGGGAGCAAAAAAUGCAAAAGCGAAUUGCGAAGGGAAAAUUGUUGUCCAACUGGAGUUUGGUAGCCGAAAGUUUUUUGGGGCCAAAAUGGCUGCCAGACUGUUCUGCUUUUUUGCAUCAAUCUCCUGAAAAUUAGUAGUGCCCUCAACAGCCAGUUCAGAAACCGAACAAACUUGGUUGGAUCGCUGGGUACACAAGUGUUUGGACCCCCUUCUGGUGGCGGACCUCCUCCGUGCUUCGGUCCCCCUCCUGGAGAACCAUUUCCCCCCGUUUUGGAUUUUCCCUUUUCCAUUUCCC
Molecule: long non-coding RNA, 340 nt
Organism: Drosophila biarmipes
Lineage: Eukaryota; Metazoa; Arthropoda; Insecta; Diptera; Drosophilidae
Exons: 3
Source: RefSeq, a predicted model, not a curated record